CAUAGCACUCUGCAAACACGAAAGUGGACGUAUAGGGUGUGAUGCCUGCCCGGUGCUGGAAGGUUAAUUGAUGGGGUUAGCGUAAGCGAAGCUCUUGAUCGAAGCCCCAGUAAACGGCGGCCGUAACUAUAACGGUCCUAAGGUAGCGAAAUUCCUUGUCGGGUAAGUUCCGACCUGCACGAAUGGCAUAAUGAUGGCGGCGCUGUCUCCAGCAGAGGCUCAGUGAAAUCGAAAUCGCUGUGAAGAUGCAGUGUACCCGCGGCUAGACGGAAAGACCCCGUGAACCUUUACUGCAGCUUGACACUGAACUUUGACCUUACUUGUGUAGGAUAGGUGGGAGGCUUUGAAGCUGGAACGCUAGUUCCAGUGGAGCCGUCCUUGAAAUACCACCCUGGUAAUGUUGAGGUUCUAACUCUGUCCCGUGAUCCGGGACGAGGACCGUGUCUGGUGGGUAGUUUGACUGGGGCGGUCUCCUCCUAAAGAGUAACGGAGGAGUACGAAGGUGCGCUCAGCGUGGUCGGAAAUCACGCGUAGAGUAUAAAGGCAAAAGCGCGCUUAACUGCGAGACCCACAAGUCGAGCAGGUACGAAAGUAGGUCUUAGUGAUCCGGUGGUUCUGUAUGGAAGGGCCAUCGCUCAACGGAUAAAAGGUACUCUGGGGAUAACAGGCUGAUACCGCCCAAGAGUUCAUAUCGACGGCGGUGUUUGGCACCUCGAUGUCGGCUCAUCUCAUCCUGGGGCUGAAGCAGGUCCCAAGGGUAUGGCUGUUCGCCAUUUAAAGAGGUACGCGAGCUGGGUUUAGAACGUCGUGAGACAGUUCGGUCCCUAUCUACCGUGGGCGCUGGAAAUUUGAGAGGAUCUGCUCCUAGUACGAGAGGACCAGAGUGGACGAACCUCUGGUGUACCGGUUGUGACGCCAGUCGCAUCGCCGGGUAGCUAUGUUCGGAAGGGAUAACCGCUGAAAGCAUCUAAGCGGGAAGCCUACCUCAAGAUAAGAUUUCCCUAGGACUUUAUGUCCUCUAAAGAGCCGUUCGAGACUAGGACGUUGAUAGGUUGGAUGUGGAAGCAUAGUGAUAUGUGAAGCUGACCAAUACUAAUUGCUCGUGAGGCUUGACUAU
This 1117-nucleotide ribosomal RNA is filed under the name Acinetobacter baumannii. Its description in RNAcentral is "partial 23S ribosomal RNA". It matches the Rfam family "Bacterial large subunit ribosomal RNA", at positions 1814 to 2925 of the family's 2925-position model. The record is from RNAcentral. Lineage: Bacteria; Pseudomonadati; Pseudomonadota; Gammaproteobacteria; Moraxellales; Moraxellaceae.